GUGGAGAGGAAGCAGUCUGCCUCGCAAGCUCACUAGCGCGGGGGGUUUGCGGAUUUGGGAGACUGGCAGCGGUGUCGUUCCGAGAGAUAAGCCCGGCAAGGCAGGGGAGGGCUCCGUGGAAUGGAGAAAGACCUUAAAUAGCACGUGAGCUCUACAGUGUGCGCUACAGGAGCUUGGCUUUGGGAUUCUGACGGGAACAUCACUCCUAGAGACUUAAGCAUUGAAAGUGAGUAUAAUUUAUUUAUAUGUAUGUAUACAUCAAGGAUAAAACCAUUAUUAAAAUACAU
RNAcentral lists this long non-coding RNA (287 nucleotides) under Chinchilla lanigera (long-tailed chinchilla). Its description in RNAcentral is "lncRNA (ENSCLAG00000023434.1)". Lineage: Eukaryota; Metazoa; Chordata; Mammalia; Rodentia; Chinchillidae. The record is from RNAcentral.